GAGGAAGAUAAAAUUUUAUCUGUCAAAAAUAAUCCAUCUAAUUGCAAUGUCCCUUCACCUUUAAAUGAACACCAAUUUUCAAUUCAAGUUUUUCAUGAGGAUGAGCAAGAUGAUGAAGAGAUGACGGAUGAUACUAAUUCUCGUGAUUAUGAUCGGAACAUCGAUAAUAAGGAAAAUGAGAUAAUUGCGAUGAAGGCUCUCCCAAUUACAGAAAUGAAUGUAGACGAGGAUAUACAUGUAAUUAUAAG
Molecule: long non-coding RNA, 248 nt
Organism: Harpegnathos saltator (Jerdon's jumping ant)
Lineage: Eukaryota; Metazoa; Arthropoda; Insecta; Hymenoptera; Formicidae
Exons: 2
Source: RefSeq, a predicted model, not a curated record